Molecule: ribosomal RNA, 465 nt
Filed under: uncultured bacterium
Lineage: Bacteria
Description: partial 16S ribosomal RNA
Rfam family: Bacterial small subunit ribosomal RNA
Source: RNAcentral
CCUACGGGAGGCAGCAGUGGGGAAUUUUGGACAAUGGGCGCAAGCCUGAUCCAGCUAUUCCGCGUGUGGGAAGACGGCCUUCGGGUUGUAAACCACUUUUGUAGAGAACGAAAAGUCUAUUGAUAAUACCGAUAGAUGAUGACGGUACUCUAAGAAUAAGCACCGGCUAAAUACGUGCCAGCAGCCGCGGUAAUACGUAGGGUGCGAGCGUUAAUCGGAAUUACUGGGCGUAAAGGGUGUGCAGGCGGGUUUGCAAGAUGGUUGUGAAAGCCCCGGGCUUAACCUGGGAAAGCCAUACAUGACUGCAAGACUAGAGUGCGUCAGAGGGGGGUGGAAUUCCAAGUGUAGCAGUGAAAUGCGUAGAUAUUUGGAAGAACACCGAUGGCGAAGGCAGCCCCCUGGGACGCAACUGACGCUCAUACACGAAAGCGUGGGGAGCAAACAGGAUUAGAUACCCUAGUAGUC